This 1354-nucleotide ribosomal RNA is filed under the name metagenome. RNAcentral's name for it is "bacterial LSU rRNA". It matches the Rfam family "Bacterial large subunit ribosomal RNA", at positions 1553 to 2925 of the family's 2925-position model. The record is from RNAcentral.
AUCCGAAGACGUGAUGUGGAGCGAAUUAGAGUAGCGAAGCGUGUGAGCCAUGUGCCGAGAAAAGCCGCUAUAGUUUCAUGUGUGCCCGUACCGUAAACCGACACAGGUGGAUGAGGAGAGAAUCCUAAGGCCGGCGGAAGAAGCAUUGUUAAGGAACUCGGCAAAAUGACCCCGUAACUUCGGGAGAAGGGGUGCCUGCUAACGCAGGCCGCAGAGAAUAGGCUCAAGCAACUGUUUAGCAAAAACACAGGUCUACGCGAAACCGAAAGGUGAAGUAUAUGGGCUGACGCCUGCCCGGUGCUGGAAGGUUAAGAGGAGAGGUUAGCGUAAGCGAAGCUUUGAAUUUAAGCCCCAGUAAACGGCGGCCGUAACGAUAACGGUCCUAAGGUAGCGAAAUUCCUUGUCGGGUAAGUUCCGACCCGCACGAAAGGCGUAAUGAUUUGAGCACUGUCUCGACAAUGCAUCCGGUGAAAUUGAAGUACCAGUGAAGAUGCUGGUUACCCGCGCCAGGACGGAAAGACCCCAUGGAGCUUUACUCCAGUUUGGUACUGGGAUUCGGUACUGCAUGUACAGGAUAGGUGGGAGACUAAGAACUUGGGACGCCAGUUUCAAGGGAGUCGCUGUUGGGAUACCACCCUUGCAGUAUUGGAUUUCUAACCAGCCGCCGUGAUCCGGCGGUGGGACAAUGCCAGGCGGGGAGUUUGACUGGGGCGGUCGCCUCCGAAAGGGUAUCGGAGGCGCUCAAAGGUUCCCUCAGAAUGGUUGGAAACCAUUUGAAGAGUGCAAAGGCAGAAGGGAGCUUGACUGCGACACCGACGGGUGGAGCAGGUAGGAAACUAGGACUUAGUGAUCCGGUGGCAUAAAGUGGGAUUGCCAUCGCUCAACGGAUAAAAGCUACCCUGGGAUAACAGGCUUAUCACUCCCAAGAGUUCACAUCGACGGAGUGGUUUGGCACCUCGAUGUCGGCUCAUCGCAUCCUGGGGCUGUAGCAGGUCCCAAGGGUUGGGCUGUUCGCCCAUUAAAGCGGUACGCGAGCUGGGUUCAGAACGUCGUGAGACAGUUCGGUCCCUAUCCGGCGCGGGCGGAGGAUAUUUGAGAGGAGCUGUCCUUAGUACGAGAGGACCGGGAUGGACGGACCACUGGUGUAUCUGCUGUCGACCAACGGCAUGGCAGAGUAGCCAAGUCCGGAAGGGAUAAACGCUGAAGGCAUCUAAGCGUGAAGCCCCCCUCAAGAUGAGAUAUCCCUCACAUAAGUGAGUAAGAUCCCUUGAAGACUACAAGGUAGAUAGGGCAGAGGUGGAAGCACGGUAACGUGUGGAGCUGACUGUUACUAAUCGAUCGAGGGCUUGACCAG